Long non-coding RNA from Sinocyclocheilus grahami, 833 nucleotides. RefSeq lists it as uncharacterized. Lineage: Eukaryota; Metazoa; Chordata; Actinopteri; Cypriniformes; Cyprinidae. The record is from RefSeq and is a predicted model, not a curated record. The transcript is spliced from 2 exons.
CUGGGCACAGCUAGCGCAACACUCGGCCGAGCUACAUAACACACUGCCUCCCGACGAGGGAGUGGAUUUACAGGAAACUGAGGGUUGGGGUGGGUGGGCAUAUUCUCACAUCGAAACGGCCAGUUGAAAUGCACUACACACGAACGGACAGGCGAAAGGAGCCAAGUAGCAUCCAGAAGCGGAAGCCAGAGACAAUGGUGUCUUGUGUCACUGUCACGAGUCACAAGACUGCUUCAUUUGGUUCUACAUUGUGCGGAGAUCGGAGUUUGGCAUAUCCGUCAUCACCAUGGCGAAGCAGGAGGGGAGGCCACUCUAAACAAACACAAAACAGCCACCCACAUGCAUACACUCUUUUUGGAGGAAUGCCCAUUGCAGACCUGAGAUGGGGGAGGUGUGGCUUACAGAUGCUGCAGACACACGCAUGCACCGUUCCCAUCCAGUGAGUCUGCCAAAACACACAGCGAUUCCUCUGAGGCGGAACCCCCACCCUGCAGCAUGGAGCUUCCUAGCUUACCACACACACACAAAUACACCUUCUCUCACUCUCGGUCUCACCUAAUCUUCUACUUAAUGGUGGCCUCUGUAUCUUAGAGCUCAUGUUCUCUCCGUCUGCCCCCGUCUUUGAUUCUCUCUCUUUUUCCAGAUUGGCAAUCUCCAUGUCUCCUUGUUCUCUUGGUCUAGUUAUCCUUUCAUUCCCUCUCUGUUCCAGUCAGUGGCUGCUGUGGAUCACAGAUGUAGCUUAUGCUUUUGUCCGCUUUCACUCGACCUGUCGGGUUUCUGGACUGUUUUGUCGAAUAAACUGGACUUGUGACUCUGUGUCAUUCUUUUUUAAA